ACGGGCUCUUCGGAGCUAGUGGCGGACGGGUGAGUAACGCGUGAGGAUCUGCCCUUAGGACGGGGACAACAGCUGGAAACGGCUGCUAAUACCCGAUGUGCCGAGAGGUGAAACUAUUUGGCCUGAGGAUGAGCUCGCGUCUGAUUAGCUAGUUGGAGUGGUAACGGCACACCAAGGCGACGAUCAGUAGCUGGUCUGAGAGGAUGAUCAGCCACACUGGGACUGAGACACGGCCCAGACUCCUACGGGAGGCAGCAGUGGGGAAUUUUCCGCAAUGGGCGAAAGCCUGACGGAGCAAGACCGCGUGCGGGAGGAAGGUCUAUUGACUGUAAACCGCUUUUGAUAGGGAAGAAGAUCUGACGGUACCUAUCGAAUCAGCAUCGGCUAACUCCGUGCCAGCAGCCGCGGUAAUACGGGGGAUGCAAGCGUUAUCCGGAAUUAUUGGGCGUAAAGCGUCCGUAGGUGGUUUUAAAAGUCUGUUGUCAAAUCGCGAGGCUUAACCUCGUACAGGCAGUGGAAACUAUAAGACUAGAGUGCGGUAGGGGUAGAGGGAAUUUCCAGUGUAGCGGUGAAAUGCGUAGAUAUUGGAAAGAACACCGGUGGCGAAGGCGCUCUACUGGGCCUGCACUGACACUGAGGGACGAAAGCUAGGGGAGCGAAAGGGAUUAGAUACCCCUGUAGUCCUAGCCGUAAACGAUGGAAACUAGGUGUUGCCCGUAUCGACCCGAGCCGUGCCGAAGC
This 741-nucleotide ribosomal RNA is filed under the name cyanobacterium enrichment culture clone 5_4_5.1.3_F09-T7. RNAcentral's name for it is "bacterial SSU rRNA". It matches the Rfam family "Bacterial small subunit ribosomal RNA", at positions 66 to 852 of the family's 1533-position model. Lineage: Bacteria; Bacillati; Cyanobacteriota. The record is from RNAcentral.